Molecule: ribosomal RNA, 479 nt
Filed under: uncultured bacterium
Lineage: Bacteria
Description: bacterial SSU rRNA
Rfam family: Bacterial small subunit ribosomal RNA
Source: RNAcentral
ACCGUACUCCUACGGGAGGCAGCAGUAGGGAAUCUUCCGCAAUGGACGAAAGUCUGACGGAGCAACGCCGCGUGAGUGAUGAAGGCUUUCGGGUCGUAAAACUCUGUUGUUAGGGGAGAACAAGUACAAGAGUAACUGCUUAUACCUUGACGGUACCUAACCAGAAAGCCACGGCUAACUACGUGCCAGCAGCCGCGGUAAUACGUAGGUGGCAAGCGUUAUCCGGAAUUAUUGGGCGUAAAGCGCGCGCAGGCGGUUUCUUAAGUCUGAUGUGAAAGCCCACGGCUCAACCGUGGAGGGUCAUUGGAAACUGGGGAACUUGAGUGCAGAAGAGAAAAGCGGAAUUCCACGUGUAGCGGUGAAAUGCGUAGAGAUGUGGAGGAACACCAGUGGCGAAGGCGGCUUUUUGGUCUGUAACUGACGCUGAGGCGCGAAAGCGUGGGGAGCAAACAGGAUUAGAAACCCCUGUAGUCCUUGAC